Long non-coding RNA from Siniperca chuatsi (mandarin fish), 737 nucleotides. RefSeq lists it as uncharacterized. Lineage: Eukaryota; Metazoa; Chordata; Actinopteri; Centrarchiformes; Sinipercidae. The record is from RefSeq and is a predicted model, not a curated record. The transcript is spliced from 6 exons.
CUGGGUCCCGUUCACAAACAAAUUCUGAAGCGGUUUGGGAAAGUCAUCUGACCUCGAUCUGACUCUGCAGGUUUGAGCAAAACAAUCAUGUGACUGAACAUAAGACAGCAGUCUCAUAUGUAACCAACAACUCAAAACAAGAUGUCCUCCUAAAGAAUUUAAUGAAGAAGGUGAAGAGGUCCUGGAGCUCCAUCUGGUCCUUGGGGUCCGGGGUUUCCUUGGGGCCCAACAGAGCCAUCUUCUCCCUGGGAGCCUGACCGACCCUGCUGACCUGGAAAACCGAUACCUCCGUCCCCCUGUGACCACAGAGACCAGCAGUAAACCACCACAGGAUAAGGAAGACUGCUGACAGGCUGCUCAACAUGACUUCUGUUUACAUCCAACAGCAAAACACAGAUCCUGGAUCACCUGGAAUUCCUGUCACACCUGAGACCAGCACAGACAACAGGUCCGGGGUUUCCAGAUAAACCUUUCUCUCCUUUCUGUCCUGGAUCUCCUGGAGAGGUUCUGAUUUCACCUGGAGAACCCUUUUCCCCUGAAUGAACCAACAGACAGACAGAUAGACAGAGUGGUUGUUCAAGCAUCCCAUCAUCCAAGUCCAAAACACCUUUCGGUCCUGUGACUCCUCGACGUCCGUCUAUCCCCUGAAAACCUGGUGGUCCCGGCUCCCCCUGGUCCCCAUCCUCACCCUUCUGCCCCACUCGCUGCAUGAUCCCAGGGUCACCAACAAGUCCUGG